UACGGGGGGAGCAAGCGUUGUUCGGAUUUACUGGGCGUAAAGGGCGGGUAGGCGGCCACCGCAAGUCAGUUGUGAAAUCUCUGGGCUUAACCCAGAAAGGUCAACUGAUACUGCGGGGCUAGAGUGCAGAAGGGGCAACUGGAAUUCUCGGUGUAGCGGUGAAAUGCGUAGAUAUCGAGAGGAACACCUGCGGCGAAGGCGGGUUGCUGGGCUGACACUGACGCUGAACUGCGAAAGCUAGGGGAGCGAACAGG
RNAcentral lists this ribosomal RNA (254 nucleotides) under uncultured bacterium. RNAcentral's name for it is "partial 16S ribosomal RNA". It matches the Rfam family "Bacterial small subunit ribosomal RNA", at positions 524 to 776 of the family's 1533-position model. The record is from RNAcentral.